AGGUCUCCAUCACCACCCCCACGCAGACGCUCGCCUUCUCCACGGAGAUACUCUCCGCCGAUACAGAGACGAUAUUCUCCUUCACCACCACCGAAGAGAAGAACAGCUUCUCCUCCUCCCCCGCCUAAACGAAGGGCAUCACCUUCUCCACAGUCGAAACGCAGAGUCUCCCAUUCGCCACCGCCGAAACAGAGGAGCUCACCAACUGCUAAAAGGCGUUCACCUUCGAUAUCUUCCAAGCACAGGAAGGGAUCUCCUCCCAGUAGGUCCAAUCGGGAAACACGUUCUCCACCACAAAACAAAAGGCAUUCACCUUCACCACGGCCUAGAGCUUCUCAUACCUCUGCAAGCCCACCGCCGCCACGAAGGGGAGCUUCAGCUUCACCCCAGAGAAGACAGUCUCCAUCUCCAAGCACUAGACCCAUCAGGAGGGUGUCAAGAACACCAGAACCUAAGAAGACAAAGCCUUCCACGCCAAGUCCACGGUCUGCGAGACGGGUGUCGUCUUCACGGUCUGCGUCAGGAUCACCCGAGCCAGCACCGAAAAAACAUCAAGGGCCUCCAUCUCCGACUCGCUCUCGUUCCCCUUCUGCAAACUGGUCACCUGCAAAAAAGGCUAAAAGCCCAACUCAGAGCCCAUCACCUGCAAGGAAUUCAGAUCAAGAAGGGGGCGGAAAGAAGAAGAAGAAAAAGAAGGAUAAGAAGCAUAAAAAGGAUAAAAAGCACAAGAAACACAAA
Non-coding RNA from Leptosomus discolor (cuckoo roller), 738 nucleotides. The record is from RefSeq and is a predicted model, not a curated record. NCBI's taxonomy places the organism in Eukaryota, Metazoa, Chordata, Aves, Leptosomiformes, Leptosomidae.